CGAGAAGGUAGCGAAAACUGGAGCUGAGGGAAAGUUCUUGAAGAAGCCAAGACUAUCAACAAAUCUUUGUCAGCGCUAGGAAAUUUAAUAAAUGCUUUGAUGUGUGGUCCAUCAAUUAAAGGAAGCUACAUCCCCUAUCGUGAUUCCAAGCUUACUCGGAUUCUACAAGAUGUUCUUGAAGGGAACUCAAGGACUGCAUUACUGUGUUGUUGCUCGCCAAGCCCUUCAAAUGCAGAAGAAACUCUAUCCGCCCUUCGCUUUGGUGCAAGGGCAAAGCAUAUAAAGACAUCACCUUUUGUUAAUCGCAGCCAGGAUAAACUUGCCAAAAAGCAUGCCGAUGUUGCUGCAACCAAAGAUGAAUCAUGUGAGAGAAUUCUAAAUAGGUUGAGGGAGAGACUAGAUGUUGAAGAUGUGGAGUUACUUGAGGAGUUAUUCAUACUGGAGGGGAUAUUAUUUGAUCCUAAUUCAGUUGAAGAUUUGGAAUCAGCCUAUGAAGAUGUUACUCUACAAACAAUUUCCUCAUUGCAGCAGGCUGUAGAAGAGCUUGUGCUUACCAUUGAGAAGGUAGGCAAAAUACGUGAAGAUCCCAUAGGGCCAAUUUCAAUCAAUGACGAUUUCUAGUUGUGAUCGCUAUUCAAAUCAUAAAUGGCUGCCAAUACCAUGUCUUCUAAUUAAGAUGUACAAUUAAGAAAAUAAAUGGAUAAGAUGAAACUAGGACAUAUAAUCUGAUAUAUUUUGCACUUCUGCAAAAUGCCUGCUGACAGUUCUUUUGUUUCCAAAAGAGUUCCUGAUUGACU
This 797-nucleotide unclassified non-coding RNA is filed under the name Hevea brasiliensis (rubber tree). Lineage: Eukaryota; Viridiplantae; Streptophyta; Magnoliopsida; Malpighiales; Euphorbiaceae. The record is from RNAcentral.